Molecule: long non-coding RNA, 826 nt
Organism: Oreochromis niloticus (Nile tilapia)
Lineage: Eukaryota; Metazoa; Chordata; Actinopteri; Cichliformes; Cichlidae
Exons: 3
Source: RefSeq, a predicted model, not a curated record
AGGCUGAUGGGUUUAGUCCAUGCGUGUGGUUUGGCUAAUGAACGUCGGCUUUCACCUGACUGCUCGUCUUUAGCUAAUGAUGUUUCCUUUUUCCUCCAGUUUUGUGAAGCACGUUUGAGGUGUGUGGUGAUGACCACGUGACUGAUUGAGGAAGUGGUUCUCAGGUUUGGCGUGCGAUUCAAAUCCUUCUCAUGUUGUGGAUUUAUCGCGCUUUUCUUGGCAAUAUAUUCGAGCAUCUUUUUUGUGUGAUGAAACCAGCGGAGAUUUUCCCCUCUCUGGGGAGAUUUUGAACUGAUCUCUCCUGAUAAGGCGAAGUGUCUGUUGUGUUCUAAAGAACUUGGAUUCAAAAAUCCAGGGGAGAAGAAUGACGUGGAUCUUCCCCAUUUUCUCUGAAAGCUAUGGUGGAGGACACACAUAUCCAAAGAGAAAGCCAAACUCAUUGUGUCGAAGGCAUCUGCAGUUAGUUCAUCAGAUAUGUGGACCCCUAUCAACACUAUGCGUACCUAGCUGUGACAUGUCAUUUUAUACACGCAAGCAGCUCUUUGCAUUCUGUUUUCCCUGCAGCACAUGCUGCUGAAAAUUUAGCAAAAACAAAAUCAGCACUUGUGUCAGAAGGGGGCAUUACACACACUUUUAAUUGCCUUGUGACUGAUGUGCGUGGCACAAAUUGUGUGGCGCAAACUUUAAAUUGACACAUUAAAAAAUGUUCCUGACCUUAUAAUUGUGUUGUUUGACAUCUGGGCAAACUGUAGGAAGACAGUGGGCUAUUUCAAGAGCCCACUGUAAAGUGAUGCUUCCACUGGAAACAUCACUUUACAUAUUUUAU